Molecule: long non-coding RNA, 716 nt
Organism: Vitis riparia (riverbank grape)
Lineage: Eukaryota; Viridiplantae; Streptophyta; Magnoliopsida; Vitales; Vitaceae
Exons: 5
Source: RefSeq, a predicted model, not a curated record
CUUCCUGGUUCAGUGCACAGAGGGCUGGGAACAGAGAGAUGUUGAGGAACAAGAGAAAAAUAGUGAUUGCAUUGCUUGACAUGAUGAGGGCUUUUAAUCAAGGAUUUAGGGUUUUUGCAAGGUAAAUCCAUUGUAAUCCAAGCUCUGAAAAGGACAGAACAGCACCCAUUAAAAGAGGUGGACACCACAACCUUUUCUGCAGUUAUGAGCAUUAUAAAACCUUUGUACAACUUGAUGGAUGCAAUGGGACCAAAUAUUCAGUUCUGCAAGGACAGCAUGGGAUAAGAAUCUGAUGGAGAUGGACGUAUAUCAAUUCCCUACAAAUACUAAUUCCAAAACCACUAUGUGAUAUUCUUGCACGUCACAUUCACGGACCAUACACUAAAUGCUGGCUUCAUGCCUUAGAAUGCUGAUUGCCACCUACCUUAUUGUUCUGGUCAUCUGCAAUGCUGCCAUCAUCAUCAAAAUACGGCUGGUGACAAUUAAGAACUGAUCAAGAGGGGACUUCAAACCUUGGUGGGGAUGUGGAAUUGCGUCACUUCUGGUAUAUCUCUCAAUCUAAUUACCACCUGGGACCCAAAUAAUUGAAGUGGGUGUUCGUCAAUUGUCACUUCUUACACAACUCUUAACCUAACUAUAUCCCAAUGCCCCCUAAAUAAUUGAAUUGAGGAGUGCUGACAAAGGAAAACCUUCUAAUUGAUUGAUGUAUUAAUUAA